AGAGAGCACGAGCCGGAAAUGGAAAAGCCGGUACAAGCGUAUAGCAGUCAUGCAGGCAAAACCGCAUGAAAAAAUGUAAAGCGUUAUGUGGAUCGAACAUUAGUAGAGAAGCGUGUGAGCCAGCUGCCAAGAAAAGCCGCUAUUGUUUCAUAAGUACCCGUACCGUAAACCGACACAGGUGGAUGAGGAGAGAAUCCCAAGGCCGGCGGGAGAAGUGUUGUUAAGGAACUCGGCAAAAUGACUCCGUAACUUCGGGAGAAGGAGUGCCACAGAGAUGUGGCCGCAGAGAAAUGGCCCAAGCAACUGUUUAGCAAAAACACAGGUCUAUGCAAAACCGAAAGGUGAGGUAUAUGGGCUGACGCCUGCCCGGUGCUGGAAGGUUAAGAGGAGAGGUUAGAGCAAUCGAAGCUUUGAAUUUAAGCCCCAGUAAACGGCGGCCGUAACAAUAACGGUCCUAAGGUAGCGAAAUUCCUUGUCGGGUAAGUUCCGACCCGCCGAAAGGCGUAAUGAUUUGGGCACUGUCUCAACAACACACCCGGUGAAAUUGAAAUACCAGUGAAGAUGCUGGUUACCUGCGCCAGGACGGAAAGACCCCAUGGAGCUUUACUCCAGUUUGAUACUGGGAUUCGGUACUGUCUGUACAGGAUAGGUGGGAGGCUAGGAAAUGGUGGCGCCAGUUGCCAUGGAGCCAACCUUGGGAUACCACCCUUACAGUACUGGGUUUCUAACCUGCAGCCGUAACCCGGCUGGGGGACAAUGUCUGACGGGGAGUUUGACUGGGGCGGUCGCCUCCGAAAGAGUAUCGGAGGCGCUCAAAGGUUCCCUCAGAACGGUUGGAAACCGUUCGAAGAGUGCAAAGGCAGAAGGGAGCUUGACUGCGACACCGACGGGUGGAGCAGAUACGAAAGUAGGACUUAGUGAUCCGGUGGUAUAAAGUGGGAUUGCCAUCGCUCAACGGAUAAAAGCUACCCUGGGAUAACAGGCUUAUCACUCCCAAGAGUUCACAUCGACGGAGUGGUUUGGCGCCUCGAUGUCGGCUCAUCGCAUCCUGGAGCUGUAGCAGGUUCCAAGGGUUGGGCUGUUCGCCCAUUAAAGCGGUACGCGAGCUGGGUUCAGAACGUCGUGAGACAGUUCGGUCCCUAUCCGGCGUGGGCGUAGGAUAUUUGAGAGGAGCUGUCCUUAGUACGAGAGGACCGGGAUGGACAAACCUCUGGUGUAUCUGUUGUUUUACCAAAGGCAUGGCAGAGUAGCCAAGUUUGGCAGGGAUAAACGCUGAAGGCAUCUAAGCGUGAAGCCCCCCUCAAGAUAAGAUAUCCCAUCUUCGGAGUAAGACCCCUUGAAGACUACAAGGUUGAUAGGCUUCAGGUGUAAGUGUGGUAACGCACUCAGCUGAGAAGUACUAAUAGGUCGAGGACUUACCAA
RNAcentral lists this ribosomal RNA (1422 nucleotides) under metagenome. RNAcentral describes it as "bacterial LSU rRNA". It matches the Rfam family "Bacterial large subunit ribosomal RNA", at positions 1480 to 2925 of the family's 2925-position model. The record is from RNAcentral.